RNAcentral lists this ribosomal RNA (261 nucleotides) under uncultured bacterium. RNAcentral describes it as "partial 16S ribosomal RNA". It matches the Rfam family "Bacterial small subunit ribosomal RNA", at positions 793 to 1055 of the family's 1533-position model. The record is from RNAcentral.
GUCCACGCUGUAAACGAUGAUUACUAGGUGUGGGGACUGACCCCUUCCGUGCCGCAGUUAACACAAUAAGUAAUCCACCUGGGGAGUACGACCGCAAGGUUGAAACUCAAAGGAAUUGACGGGGCCCGCACAAGCAGUGGAGUAUGUGGAUUAAUUCGAAGCAACGCGAAGAACCUUACCAGGUCUUGACAUCGUACGCAUAGCAUAGAGAUAUGUGAAAUCCCUUCGGGGACGUAUAGACAGGUGGUGCAUGGUUGUCGU